Molecule: long non-coding RNA, 2463 nt
Organism: Terrapene triunguis (Three-toed box turtle)
Lineage: Eukaryota; Metazoa; Chordata; Testudines; Emydidae
Exons: 3
Source: RefSeq, a predicted model, not a curated record
UUAUAUUUACAUUUUUGGCGUUUUCUUACAAAUAAAAAAAAAAAAAUGGAGUGAAGAAAACAAUGCUGUGGAGUUGAGCUGCCACAGACUUUCUCAUGGGGAAGGAAGAGAGAGGGCUGGCUCCUUUGGCUGCAUUGCCCAUGCCUUCCUCCUGCAACUUUCAGUCCUGCAGCCCAGAGGGGGAAGAGAUGUCCCCGAUCCCUGUUUCUGAUGGGGGGGGGCAUCAGCCUUAGGCGCUGUGCUUUCCACUUGCACCGUAAAUGCCACGAGGGGCCAGACCGCGUGGAUCCAAUGUGCCAAAGUGUGCAAGGCACUUCACAUGAGACUUGAUCCCUGCCUGAGACAGUUUACAAUCUGAAUUUCAGACAUGACACAAGAGAAACCAGCACAUCAAUGGCACAUCAACGACAGACUACUUGCCUCAGCAGUAUGGAUGCUUUACCUGGACUUGUAGGGGAAGACACACCUGGGACCCUGAAAGGGGGCUUUUCCCCUGCUUCCCCAGCUAUAUGGCUGUGCCCUUGUGAGCUCCAGGAAGAUGCAGCAUGGCCUACACCAUGCUUCCUGACUGUGUCACAGCUGAUUGAUUCAUACAUGUCCAGGGGAGGGCUUAUAAACUUUGUCCCUUCAUGGGGCUUCCAGUGGCACCAUGGGGUUUGCUGCUGUCAGCUUUUCUUCCACUGGGUUCAACAUAGGACCAGAUUUCUGGGCCUGCUGGGAGCAUUAACCAAUCGCUUUAAUGGGAGUAAAAAGGAGGGAAUUUCCCCUCAUUGCUGAAUUGGCCAUGGUGGCAAGUGUUUUUUCACCUUGCUCUCAGUGUCAUGGGGUCCCCAGGACUCCAGGAGGUUGUGUUAAUAUUCUUCUGUUGGUUGCAAACAUGCAUGUGGCCAAUGUGGAUAAAGGCGUCCAUCAAUUCUGGCUAAACCUGAGCAUAGGACCAAGAAUAGGAGAGGGUUUCCCCUGCAGAAGAUGCCGUCAGGCUGAUCUCCAGUGAUGGGUACAGCAAAGAACAAUCUUUCUCGCCCCUAUGUAACUUGUAUCCUCACAUAAGAGAAGAGGAGCAAGGGAUUCAGCACUGGUGUUGGAACAUUUUUUUUAAUUUGGGGGUAUGAGGGCGAUUCAAGGCGGUGGCCCCCUCACAGAUAGUCCUGCAAACUAAGUGAGUGUGGAUCUACGCUGGCCUUCUUCCUGCCUAGUAUUUUAUUAGAGUUGAAUCAAUAAAGUUGUGGCCUAUUUAAAACACAUUACUAUAUUGUUUUGCUUUUCUUCCUGCUGUGUCUGAGUCAAUCACCCUUUGCCACCAGACACAAGAGGCCCCAAGAUGCAACUGUUGGUUUUGUUCAGCACAAAGGGGGCAAAUAUAAAAUGACUUUUUUUCACUCAUUAAACUUUCUGGAUUCAUCAGCAUUUGCAUGAAUGCUCAGAUUUGACCCCAGGGGUAUCAGCAAGCCAAAUUUGAAUUACUUAUAUGCAAAUAUAUUUCUGAAUCAGACAUUUCAUUAUUUGACCCAUUCUAUCCAAAGUAGCUGUCUCUUCUUAGCAAUAAAAUGACUUUUGCAGAAGGCCUGACCCAUCUUAGCCUUUAAUUCUUGAAUAACGAGCAUUUUCUGAAAGACUGUCUAAAGGAAUGGUGCAUAAAAGACUGGUGCUAGUGUGCCCCAGGCUUAACAUGCUGUACCAACUGGCAGCUAAAAUGGCAUCAAAUCUGCUAAAGUUUUAGGUUCAUAAACAUGCCUCAAAGUAGCCCCCUUUAACUCCCAUGUUUGUCAUUUGUAUAUGGUUGUGAUAUUUCAUUCAAAGCAUGCCUUGUAAGAUGACAUAUGAUCUACUGAACUCAUUGUUCUGUCAAUAUAUGUGUAUCAUCAUUGUAUAUGGAAUUAUGAUAUUCUGCUAUAUGGUUAUUAUUGAAAUAUGUUGUGUGUCCGGGAGACACCCAUAGCUAGCUCUCCAGUGGCAACAAAGGAGGUGACCCUCACCCAAACAGGCGUUUAGCGGUCAUCACAAGCCAUUGACCAGCAGGGAAUUGUAAACAAGAGAUUUACAAUUCUGUAAUUGCAUUGUGUGGUGUGCAGGCACCACACAAUGAAGAUUUUUUUCAAUGCUGUGACUCAGCAAGGCCCACCAGGACAUAUCUAGGCCAAUAUCUUUCCUGGGAAUUGAUUUGAAUUAAUUGAAAAUAUAAAAUAAGGAACAGUGGUAUCAUGAGAUGACCUCUCCUCCUCCUCCACCUACUCUGAAGGCAACAAAGACUUUGAACUGGGGAGAUUGGUCUCAGGCUGAGAAGGGAAUGCAGCCUGUGUAUUAAAAACUGUAACGUGCUGCAACAUUCAGUGGGGUGAGAAAAGCUGUUUAAAUUCUAAACUUUAUCAGACUAAGUAAGAUUUGACUCAGACUGUGAUUUUACUUUUAUUUCUUUUGUAACCAUCUUUAUCUCAUAUACCCACCACUUACAAUCACUUACAA